AAAGUUUUAAGUUAUUUAAACUAGUAACCUUCAAAGUUGCCUAAAGAAGUAUAAAUCUUCUAAACUUUA
Molecule: transfer RNA, 69 nt
Filed under: Gordonella aff. paravillosa ZS-2018
Lineage: Eukaryota; Metazoa; Arthropoda; Malacostraca; Decapoda; Solenoceridae
Description: tRNA-Trp
Source: RNAcentral